Molecule: ribosomal RNA, 116 nt
Filed under: Procavia capensis (Cape rock hyrax)
Lineage: Eukaryota; Metazoa; Chordata; Mammalia; Hyracoidea; Procaviidae
Source: RNAcentral
AUAUACAUCAUACUACCCUGAAUACACCCGAUCUCUCUGUUCUCUGAAGCUAAGCAGGGUAGGGCCUGGUUAAUACUUGGAUGGGAGAUGGCCUGGAAUAUCGGGUGCUGUAGGCU